UCCUACGGGAGGCASCAGUGGGGAAUUUUGGACAAUGGGCGCAAGCCUGAUCCAGCCAUGCCGCGUGAGUGAAGAAGGCCUUCGGGUUGUAAAGCUCUUUCGGCGGGGAAGAAAUCGCAUUCUCUAAUACAGGAUGUGGAUGACGGUACCCGAAUAAGAAGCACCGGCUAACUACGUGCCAGCAGCCGCGGUAAUACGUAGGGUGCGAGCGUUAAUCGGAAUUACUGGGCGUAAAGCGUGCGCAGGCGGUUUCGUAAGACAGACGUGAAAUCCCCGGGCUCAACCUGGGAACUGCGUUUGUGACUGCGAGGCUAGAGUUUGGCAGAGGGGGGUGGAAUUCCACGUGUAGCAGUGAAAUGCGUAGAGAUGUGGAGGAACACCGAUGGCGAAGGCAGCCCCCUGGGCCAAUACUGACGCUCAUGCACGAAAGCGUGGGGAGCAAACAGGAUUAGAUACCCUGGUAGUCCACGCCCUAAACGAUGUCAACUAGGUGUUGGGAGGGUUAAACCUCUUAGUGCCGUAGCUAACGCGUGAAGUGACCGCCUG
This 546-nucleotide ribosomal RNA is filed under the name uncultured bacterium. RNAcentral describes it as "bacterial SSU rRNA". It matches the Rfam family "Bacterial small subunit ribosomal RNA", at positions 337 to 875 of the family's 1533-position model. The record is from RNAcentral.